Molecule: ribosomal RNA, 791 nt
Filed under: uncultured Methanoculleus sp.
Lineage: Archaea; Methanobacteriati; Methanobacteriota; Methanomicrobia; Methanomicrobiales; Methanomicrobiaceae
Description: bacterial SSU rRNA
Rfam family: Archaeal small subunit ribosomal RNA
Source: RNAcentral
AUAACCUGACCUAAGGAAGGGGAUAACUCCGGGAAACUGGGGAUAAUACCCUAUAGGUUACGGGUGCUGGAAUGCCCUGUAACCGAAAGUUCCGACGCCUUAGGAUGGAUCUGCGGCCGAUUAGGUUGUUGUCGGGGUAAUGGCCCAACAAGCCAGUGAUCGGUACGGGUUGUGGGAGCAAGAGCCCGGAGUUGGAUUCUGAGACACGAAUCCAGGCCCUACGGGGCGCAGCAGGCGCGAAAACUUUACAAUGCGGGCAACCGUGAUAAGGGAACCUCGAGUGCCUGUAUAUGCAGGCUGUCCAGGUGUCUAAAACACACCUGAAGAAAGGGCCGGGCAAGACCGGUGCCAGCCGCCGCGGUAAUACCGGCGGCUCGAGUGGUGGCCACUUUUAUUGGGCUUAAAGCGUUCGUAGCUGGGUUGUUAAGUCUCUUGGGAAAUCCGGCAGCUUAACUGUCGGGCGUCUAAGGGAUACUGGUAAUCUUGGAACCGGGAGAGGUGAGGGGUACUUCGGGGGUAGGAGUGAAAUCCUGUAAUCCUCGAGGGACCACCUGUGGCGAAGGCGCCUCACCAGAACGGCUUCGACAGUGAGGGACGAAAGCUGGGGGAGCAAACCGGAUUAGAUACCCGGGUAGUCCCAGCCGUAAACGAUGUGCGUUAGGUGUAUCGACGACCACGAGUCGUCGAGGUGCCGAAGGGAAACCGUGAAACGUACCGCCUGGGAAGUACGGUCGCAAGGCUGAAACUUAAAGGAAUUGGCGGGGGAGCACCACAACAGGUGGAGCCUGCGG